UUUCGCAAUGCCCGAAAGGGUGACGAAGCGACGCCGCGUGUGGGAAGAAGGCCUUCGGGUUGUAAACCACUGUCGGGAGUUAGGAAAUGCAGGUGCGUUAAUAGCGCACUUGCUUGACUAAGGCUCCAGAGGAAGCCACGGCUAACUCUGUGCCAGCAGCCGCGGUAAUACAGAGGCGGCAAGCGUUGUUCGGAAUUAUUGGGCGUAAAGAGCACGUAGGCGGCCUUGCAAGUCAGUUGUGAAAGCCUUCCGCUUAACGGAAGAACGGCAUCUGAUACUACAGGGCUUGAGUACGGGAGGGGAGAGUGGAACUUCUGGUGGAGCGGUGAAAUGCGUAGAUAUCAGAAGGAACGCCGGCGGCGAAAGCGGCUCUCUGGCCCAUAACUGACGCUGAGUGUGCGAAAGCUAGGGGAGCAAACGGGAUUAGAUACCCCGGUAGUCCUAGCCGUAAACGAUGGGCACUAAGUAGAGGGGUUUU
Molecule: ribosomal RNA, 478 nt
Filed under: uncultured Planctomycetales bacterium
Lineage: Bacteria; Pseudomonadati; Planctomycetota; Planctomycetia; Planctomycetales
Description: bacterial SSU rRNA
Rfam family: Bacterial small subunit ribosomal RNA
Source: RNAcentral